Molecule: ribosomal RNA, 301 nt
Filed under: uncultured bacterium
Lineage: Bacteria
Description: partial 16S ribosomal RNA
Rfam family: Bacterial small subunit ribosomal RNA
Source: RNAcentral
CAGCAGCCACGGUAAUACGAAGGGGGCUAGCGUUGUUCGGAUUUACUGGGCGUAAAGCGCACGUAGGCGGAUCGAUCAGUCAGGGGUGAAAUCCCAGAGCUCAACUCUGGAACUGCCUUUGAUACUGUCGAUCUGGAGUAUGGAAGAGGUGAGUGGAAUUCCGAGUGUAGAGGUGAAAUUCGUAGAUAUUCGGAGGAACACCAGUGGCGAAGGCGGCUCACUGGUCCAUUACUGACGCUGAGGUGCGAAAGCGUGGGGAGCAAACAGGAUUAGAUACCCCAGUAGUCCCUGUCUCUUAUAC